GACGAACGCUGGCGGCGUGCCUAAUACAUGCAAGUAGAACGCUGAAGGAGGAGCUUGCUUCUCUGGAUGAGUUGCGAACGGGUGAGUAACGCGUAGGUAACCUGCCUGGUAGCGGGGGAUAACUAUUGGAAACGAUAGCUAAUACCGCAUAACAGUAGAUAUUGCAUGAUAUCUGCUUGAAAGGUGCAACUGCAUCACUACCAGAUGGACCUGCGUUGUAUUAGCUAGUUGGUGAGGUAACGGCUCACCAAGGCGACGAUACAUAGCCGACCUGAGAGGGUGAUCGGCCACACUGGGACUGAGACACGGCCCAGACUCCUACGGGAGGCAGCAGUAGGGAAUCUUCGGCAAUGGACGGAAGUCUGACCGAGCAACGCCGCGUGAGUGAAGAAGGUUUUCGGAUCGUAAAGCUCUGUUGUAAGAGAAGAACGAGUGUGAGAGUGGAAAGUUCACACUGUGACGGUAUCUUACCAGAAAGGGACGGCUAACUACGUG
This 495-nucleotide ribosomal RNA is filed under the name uncultured bacterium. RNAcentral describes it as "partial 16S ribosomal RNA". It matches the Rfam family "Bacterial small subunit ribosomal RNA", at positions 28 to 507 of the family's 1533-position model. The record is from RNAcentral.